Molecule: unclassified non-coding RNA, 21 nt
Filed under: Dictyostelium discoideum
Lineage: Eukaryota; Evosea; Eumycetozoa; Dictyosteliales; Dictyosteliaceae
Source: RNAcentral
GGGGCAAUCAAGAAGAAAAAC